AUUAUACUGCCUCUCCUCUACAGUAAGCUAUAGUAAGUGGGCUAUUCCUACUGGGCAUUGCUAUAAGUAAGGUUAAAAAAUAGAAAAAAGGGGGAAAUAAAGGUGGGGAGGGGAAUUGAGGAGGAAGAGGAGGGGAGCUGACGCACAGAUGAGAAAUCAUAUUAUGCGCAACCAGAGAAGUCGUCUGAAUAUCACCGAAAGAGGAGACCUUCGUAUGUUCCUUACGAAAAU
Non-coding RNA from Pelobates cultripes (western spadefoot toad), 231 nucleotides. The record is from the annotation of a GenBank genome assembly. Lineage: Eukaryota; Metazoa; Chordata; Amphibia; Anura; Pelobatidae.